UCUGGUGGCGAGUGGCGAACGGGUGAGUAAUACAUCGGAACGUACCCAGAAGUGGGGGAUAACGCAGCGAAAGUUGCGCUAAUACCGCAUACGUUCUACGGAAGAAAGUGGGGGAUCGCAAGACCUCAUGCUUUUGGAGCGGCCGAUGUCUGAUUAGCUAGUUGGUAGGGUAAAGGCCUACCAAGGCGACGAUCAGUAGCUGGUCUGAGAGGACGACCAGCCACACUGGAACUGAGACACGGUCCAGACUCCUACGGGAGGCAGCAGUGGGGAAUUUUGGACAAUGGGCGCAAGCCUGAUCCAGCAAUGCCGCGUGAGUGAAGAAGGCCUUCGGGUUGUAAAGCUCUUUUGUCAGGGAAGAAACGGCUGAGGCUAAUACCUUCGGCUAAUGACGGUACCUGAAGAAUAAGCACCGGCUAACUACGUGCCAGCAGCCGCGGUAAUACGUAGGGUGCAAGCGUUAAUCGGAAUUACUGGGCGUAAAGCGUGCGCAGGCGGUUUUGUAAGUCUGACGUGAAAGCCCCGGGCUCAACCUGGGAAUUGCGUUGGAGACUGCAAGGCUUGAAUCUGGCAGAGGGGGGUAGAAUUCCACGUGUAGCAGUGAAAUGCGUAGAGAUGUGGAGGAACACCGAUGGCGAAGGCAGCCCCCUGGGUCA
RNAcentral lists this ribosomal RNA (656 nucleotides) under uncultured bacterium. RNAcentral's name for it is "bacterial SSU rRNA". It matches the Rfam family "Bacterial small subunit ribosomal RNA", at positions 84 to 736 of the family's 1533-position model. The record is from RNAcentral.